UACGUAGGGUGCGAGCGUUGUCCGGAAUUAUUGGGCGUAAAGAGCUCGUAGGCGGUGUGUCACGUCGGCCGUGAAAACCUGCAGCUUAACUGUGGGCGUGCGGUCGAUACGGGCAUCACUGGAGUUCGGCAGGGGAGACUGGAAUUCCUGGUGUAGCGGUGAAAUGCGUAGAUAUCAGGAGGAACACCGGUGGUGUAGACGGCUCUCUGGACCGUAACUGACGCUGAGACACGAAAGCGUGGGUAGCAAACAGG
This 254-nucleotide ribosomal RNA is filed under the name uncultured bacterium. RNAcentral describes it as "partial 16S ribosomal RNA". It matches the Rfam family "Bacterial small subunit ribosomal RNA", at positions 524 to 776 of the family's 1533-position model. The record is from RNAcentral.